RNAcentral lists this non-coding RNA (107 nucleotides) under pig gut metagenome. Its description in RNAcentral is "SAM riboswitch (S box leader)". It matches the Rfam family "SAM riboswitch aptamer (S box leader)". From Rfam's summary of the family: The SAM riboswitch is found upstream of a number of genes which code for proteins involved in methionine or cysteine biosynthesis in Gram-positive bacteria. The SAM riboswitch acts at the level of transcription termination control. The record is from RNAcentral.
UCUUAUCAAGAGUGGUGGAGGGAAAGGCCUGUCGAAACCCAGCAACCUGAUGAAUAAUUAAGGUGCUAAUUCCUUCAAGCGGUCGUUUUUGAGGCUUGAAAGAUAAG